Molecule: ribosomal RNA, 425 nt
Filed under: uncultured bacterium
Lineage: Bacteria
Description: bacterial SSU rRNA
Rfam family: Bacterial small subunit ribosomal RNA
Source: RNAcentral
GGGGAAUCUUGCGCAAUGGGCGAAAGCCUGACGACGCAACGCCGCGUGGAGGAUGAAGAUCUUCGGGUCGUAAACUCCUGUCGAGCGGGAAGAAUAGUUUCGGCGUGAAUAUCGCCGGAGCCUGACGGUACCGCUAAAGGAAGCCCCGGCUAACUCCGUGCCAGCAGCCGCGGUAAUACGGGGGGGGCAAGCGUUGUUCGGAAUUACUGGGCGUAAAGGGCCAGUAGGCGGCCAACUAAGUCCGACGUGAAAUCCCCAGGCUCAACCUGGGAACUGCGUCGGAUACUGGAUGGCUUGAAUUCGGGAGAGGGAUGCAGAAUUCCAGGUGUAGCGGUGAAAUGCGUAGAUAUCUGGAGGAAUACCGGUGGCGAAGGCGGCAUCCUGGACCGAAAUUGACGCUGAUCGGCGAAAGCUAGGGGAGCAAA